AACGAACGCUGGCGGCAUGCCUAACACAUGCAAGUCGAACGAUGCCUCCGGGCAUAGUGGCGCACGGGUGCGUAACGCGUGGGAAUCUGCCCUUGGGUUCGGAAUAACUCGCCGAAAGGCGAGCUAAUACCGGAUGAUGACGUAAGUCCAAAGAUUUAUCGCCCAAGGAUGAGCCCGCGUAGGAUUAGCUAGUUGGUGGGGUAAAGGCCCACCAAGGCGACGAUCCUUAGCUGGUCUGAGAGGAUGAUCAGCCACACUGGGACUGAGACACGGCCCAGACUCCUACGGGAGGCAGCAGUGGGGAAUAUUGGACACUGGGCGAAAGCCUGAUCCAGCAAUGCCGCGUGAGUGAUGAAGGCCUUAGGGUUGUAAAGCUCUUUUACCCGGGAUGAUAAUGACAGUACCGGGAGAAUAAGCUCCGGCUAACUCCGUG
RNAcentral lists this ribosomal RNA (433 nucleotides) under uncultured bacterium. RNAcentral describes it as "partial 16S ribosomal RNA". It matches the Rfam family "Bacterial small subunit ribosomal RNA", at positions 29 to 507 of the family's 1533-position model. The record is from RNAcentral.